UGCAGAGGAGCCAAGCGUUGUCCGGAUUGACUGGGCGUAAAGCGCACGCAGGCGGUUGCGCGCGUGGGGUGUGAAAUCUGGCCGCUUAACGGCCAGGCGCCAUCCCAUACGGCGCGACUGGAGUGAUGCAGAGGUCGAUGGAAUUGCCGGUGUAGUGGUGAAAUGCGUAGAGAUCGGCAGGAACACCCAGGGGGAAACCAGUCGACUGGGCAUCUACUGACGCUGAGGUGCGAGAGCGUGGGGAGCGAACCGG
This 253-nucleotide ribosomal RNA is filed under the name uncultured bacterium. RNAcentral describes it as "partial 16S ribosomal RNA". It matches the Rfam family "Bacterial small subunit ribosomal RNA", at positions 524 to 776 of the family's 1533-position model. The record is from RNAcentral.